Long non-coding RNA from Dermacentor albipictus, 2283 nucleotides. RefSeq lists it as uncharacterized. Lineage: Eukaryota; Metazoa; Arthropoda; Arachnida; Ixodida; Ixodidae. The record is from RefSeq and is a predicted model, not a curated record.
AAGCGCAGUUACUAUUGAAAUCGCUGAAAACAAGUACAUGGAACCUUAUGCUUUGUCAUUUAAGAAUACAUACCUCAUGGCUUUAUGAAGGUGAUGCGUUAAGUUUACGGAAAGCGCUUGCUAAGUCCGUGUACGCAUUCGUGCAAUUCGACUUCGCCCUGCCAUCUGCUAGCCGCCUUGUUAGCUCAGGUUUCCCUACAGUAGGAAAUUGCUGGGCAGGCGGACCAGCGCACCGGAAUCGUACUGGCGAAUUCGACAAGCAAGUUAUAGAAUCUGUUUAAUUGUUGCACUUCGAACAACUGUGCCCAAUUAUGCUUCUACAAAGGCCACAGCAGAAAAACCGCCUGAUGCUGAGUAUUUCUGUGCCACGAAGCAAUCAAUUAAGAGGAGAGUGCCUAAUACGGACAAAAUCGAGUGCAUGAACACAAUGCCUACGCCUAGCCACAGCAGCUCCUUCAUGCAGACUCCGCAAGCCAAGAGGCCGUGGAGGCAAAUGCAGGUAAGAGGCAGAAAGCAAUAGCACCGGUAUUGACAUUAAUCUAAUUUCGUUCUUUUUUUUUUACAUUUAGGACGCCAGCACACCUAGAACAGCCACCUUGACUGCAGGUGUGUCGCCCUAGCCACCAAAGAAACUUUUGAGGGAAAGUGACAGGCAAUGUCAACAGCCACUUCUCCAUGUAAACGAUACUCUUUCUCUCAGAUGACACCUACGCCUCGCCACGCCAGCUCAUCUGUGCAGACUCCCCCAACAAUGAUGCCGCAGAGGCACGUGCAUGUCAGAGGCAAGAAGCAGUGGCACUGGUGUCGAUAUUCACCCAAUUUCUUUCUUUUUCUUACAUUGAGGAAGCCAGCACACCUCGAACAGCCACCUCGACUGCGGGUGUGUCAUCAGAUUCCUGUUGUGCAUAUGUUCAUAAUAAACAUCAGUAAACUUGAACUUGAUAAUAAACUUGAAGGCAAAUGAGACAUCGGUGCAUUACCUUUUUGAACAUUUAGUGUACACAUACAAUAUAUGUUAUACCUUGCAAUGCUACAGAGCGUAUUUUGAAGCUUCCCUCUGCAUUUUGCACUUUCAAUACAUAUGUAUUGUGUGGCCCUCAAUGCAGUUAAUGUUGUAGCAGCUGCUUUGUCUGUGUAUUGCACAUUGGAUUAAGCUUGUGAUAUCCACAUGUGCAACAGGCCGAUACUUCUCUCACAUAUACCAAAUAAGGCUCUGUGUAGUUCUCAGUGUUACAAUAAAAAAUAAAAUUAAACAAUCCCUUCGUGCAAUUGUGUUUGUUACAGCGAUUCCUAUGACGUUUAUUGACAAGUUGAGAACUUGAACUGGUACAUCCGUCAUGGGAAGGAAUUGUAUGUAUACAUAUAGCGAAAAAAGGGGGUAUGUGUGUGUGAUGAUGUUUUGACAAGUUCUGUUGGUUAAAGCAAUACAUGCCAGUUUAGCUCUUGUCACUAUCAAUAUGCAUUACCGCAAUACAGAGGAUGCCUCGCUAUAGCACACGUCCUCCGUAGUUAGCCGAGACCCUAGGUGACAGGUUCACCCUUGCCGCCUUUAGCUUAUCUCUGGAAAACACAGUGUAUUGCGGUGAAACAUACUACAGCACAUUUAUCAGUUUAGAAUGCAAAUACCUUUGCCUUCUGCUUUUGUGAUACACUAGGUAUAAUGAGGACAUAUUCACUACUAAAAACAUCCAUACUGAAAUGAAGAACACUGAUGUCAGCAUGUGUGAUGUUUUAUCCUUUUCUUUUGUUGUGUACGUCAUACUGCCAUUAUUAAAUUUUCCUCUAAUUUGAAAGGUGCCGACGUGCAUAACAUCACAUUGCAAGGAGUCUGUGUAAUUAGUGUUCAAAGACCAGUGUGAUGGCUUUUCUGAAGAGAGGUUGGGGUUAAGCUGCUGUUAAUAUUUUUUUUAGAAGGGUAGUUUUCCAUGAAGAAAUCGCAUAUCAGAAAACAGACCUGUGGUAUGCUGGGUUUGAGCAUGUAAUGGUGGAAAUGAUGCAGAAUACAUUAUUAUAUUUUUUUUUUGCCUGAAACCAAGAACUAGCUGAAAUAUGUGAAAUAUCUUAAAUAGCAUCCAUGAGCAACUGCAAGCUGCGCACACCUAGACUCGAAACACAAUUCUCUUGCUUCAGUCCAAGGAGGUUUUUGCUGCUUUGUUGAAACCUCAAGUACAUUCUCAGUGGCACAGUAAUUUCUGUCUACCUUUCGCUCAAGUGUGCCCUAUACAUAAGAGCGAUUUAUACUUGCAACUGGGCAGCAGCCUUACCUUGGCAAACCAGUGGGAG